UGGCGGCACUAGCGCGGUGGUCCCACCUGACCCCAUGCCGAACUCAGAAGUGAAACGCCGUAGCGCCGAUGGUAGUGUGGGGUCUCCCCAUGUGAGAGUAGGAAACUGCCA
Molecule: ribosomal RNA, 111 nt
Filed under: Klebsiella pneumoniae
Lineage: Bacteria; Pseudomonadati; Pseudomonadota; Gammaproteobacteria; Enterobacterales; Enterobacteriaceae
Source: RNAcentral